This 481-nucleotide ribosomal RNA is filed under the name uncultured bacterium. RNAcentral's name for it is "partial 16S ribosomal RNA". It matches the Rfam family "Bacterial small subunit ribosomal RNA", at positions 28 to 523 of the family's 1533-position model. The record is from RNAcentral.
GACGAACGCUGGCGGCGUGCUUAACACAUGCAAGUCGAACAGAAAGGCCCUGCUUGCAGGGUACUCGAGUGGCGAACGGGUGAGUAACACGUGGGUGAUCUGCCCUGGACUUCGGGAUAAGCCUGGGAAACUGGGUCUAAUACCGGAUAGGAGUCAUUUUUAGUGUGAUGGUUGGAAAGUUUGUUCGGUGUAGGAUGAGCUCGCGGCCUAUCAGCUUGGUGGUGGGGUAAUGGCCUACCAAGGCGGCGACGGGUAGCCGGCCUGAGAGGGUGGACGGCCACAUUGGGACUGAGAUACGGCCCAGACUCCUACGGGAGGCAGCAGUGGGGAAUAUUGCACAAUGGGCGCAAGCCUGAUGCAGCGACGCCGCGUGGGGGAUGACGGCCUUCGGGUUGUAAACUCCUUUCGCUAGGGACGAAGCUUUUUGUGACGGUACCUAGAUAAGAAGCACCGGCUAACUACGUGCCAGCAGCCGCAGUAA